CAAAAAUGUUGACUUGCCCUCAAGUUCCGUCAGCACAGUUUGGAUAAGCACUAAAAUACAUUUGUUUCCAGCAGUGGGCACACCAUUCCAGUUGCACAGAGAGAAAUGGAGUAUUAAUCUUCAAUUGAUCAUAGGCAGUUUUGAGAGUUACGUUCUGCUCAGUUUCAGAUUCUUUAGUUGUUGGACUCCAAGCCCAAGAAGUGUUUUUAUUAUAAUAAUUAAAAAACAAAACUGUGCCCUUAACAUGUAUUAAAGUGCAUUUAGUUACCAUUUUUAAAGCAGGUCAGAAUGUCCCUUUGAAACUGGUCCCUAAGCACUGCAGUAGCAUUUUGUAGUGGUAAAAGUAGUGUAUUACAGAAAGCCUGUUCCAUACCAGCACAGAGUACAGGGGAUUUCUGUGAGUUAGUGAAACAGGUCCUAGAGUUCCAAAAGGAUAAGACAACAGGAGUACAGAAGAGCUCUGUUCUCAUCCCGUGGACAGAGGUUACCUGUCAAAGGCAUCCCACAGCCACAGAUACUCAUUUCCAUGCACCAAGACAUUCUUUCAGGCUUCCACAGUACUUUUCUGGCUGAGAUAACUUGUAUGUAUGAUUCCCUUAAUGUUGAUGUGCAGUAUAGCAUCGCUUUCAUACAGGACAGCUGUUUGUUAAAGCUAAAAACACCAAUUAAAAGAGGCCCAGCACCUUGAAGCAAGUUUUAUAAUAAAAGGCCUAUUUAUUCUUCAUCAUCAUCUUCAUAGUAACGGUUCCUUUUGAUCUGUUCUUCCACAGAUAGAUCUUCCAUAUCUUCACCCUCCCAGAAACCAACAUCUUGGGAUUUGCGAUUCUGGUCAGGAGAUGAUUCCUUUGCAGUUACAUUGGAUAGGCUGGAAUGUUUAGGAGAAUUUGGUUCAAGGAAUUCUUCACUUGGGGUUUGCUGCUCUUCCACAGCAUGUUCUUCCUCAUCUGUCUCUGCACUCUCCUGGCCAUUUUCUACGAAGUUGUGCUCUGCUGUUUUGAUACCAGGCAAUUCCCGCUCUUCCUCUACACUUUUCUCCUCAGCAUUCUGCAUGUUCCUAUUCUCCAUCUUUUCCUUGUGCUUUUUGUCUACCACAACCUCUCUCUCCAGUUCCUCACUUCUUUUCAACAUGUCUCUCUCUGCCUUAGAAGGAGAGGACGAAUUGUCUGUUUUAUGGCCUUUCACAGAUACUGUUCUAAACGAGGCUGCUACCGUAAAGGGACGACUUCUCUCCUUCAGUGAGGAAGAUCUUCUUAACUUUUUGAGAUCCAGAUCCACAUCCUCCAACACAUCUGGCUUGGAACUCUCUUCUUCUGGAGGCCAUUUGGGUUUUAAUACUUUGAUGCCUUCAUCCAAAGUGCUUCCUUGAGUACUUUGGUCUGAUGGAGGUGGCCAGGCAAUCCUGAGCUUUUUUGUUUCUGCUGGUUUCUCUUCUCUCUCAGGCAAAGCUGAAGCUUUUGCUUCCAUAGUUGCUGCCAGAACUCCUACUUUUGCAAUUGGGGCAUCCUCUACUCCUGGGUUUUGAGGACUCUCAGUUGCAUUUACACCAUGGAGAGUUUUCUCCAGGGAUUCCUCACAUUCUGUUUUGCUUGACCAUAAUUCCUUAUGCUGUUUGUGUCCAAAGCCUUCAUCGUAAUUACCUUUAGCUUUGAAGAGCUGAUUGAAGUGAGGCUUGCAGUAAAUAUUCCCACGCAGAGAUGCAUAUGUCCCAAGGCUGAGUUUACUGUUGCAAUAGGAACAGCGGAAACAGCUGAUGUGGAACACCUGCUGGUUGGCAAGGAGCCUUUCCAUUGGGUACACUGUCUUCUGACACCCAACGCAGGUUUCCUUUGCUGGCAACUGAAACUUCUUCACCGUUUUUGGCAGAGAUGCAUCUGUCUGGCCAAGUGAUUUGGAGCCAAAGUUUUGCUGUUUUGUGCUGACAGGUUUCUGAACUUCUGUCUCGCUCUCCAGGUUUUGUCCAACAUUCCCAUCCUCUGAAAGGCUGGAGUGGAAAGAUAGGCUGUUCUCACCCACAGAAACCUUCUCCCCAUCCUGAUAGGAAAUGCAGUCCUCAAAACUUGGUGGCAUAUUCUCCUUCUGCUCAGAUUUGUAAUUCUUGAGUUCACUUUCACUGGCUUGAAUCUCAUUCGUGGUCACAAGGCCUGUGGAACUGCCCUGCUUGGACACAGCUGCCUGAUACUUUGCCAACCUAUCCUUUAUUGAAGUUUCUGUUAAGCGAGGCAUCUCCAGGCUUUUCUUGGUCUCUACCUUAUCUGGGCUGAGUGCUGGACUUGCAUCUGAUGCACUGUGACUCUUCUCUCCUUGGCCAACAUCAAGGUCCUCUGAAGAGAAGCUGUUUUCAGAAAUCCUCCUACCAAUUGCUGUCUUCCUCUGGUCUCUAGCAACCUUGGGCUGAGCUGCUUCACCCUUUUCAAACAUCAUCUUUAACUUGUUCAGCGGAACGCUGUACUUCUCUAUCUUCCCCGAAGACUCUGCGUUUUCACUGGCUUCAGGCUUUUCCACUUCUCUGGACUCUCUCAGAUAGUUUUCCAUUUUACCACUCUCCGGUGAGUGGCUUUGAGACUUUCUGCUGUCAACACCGGGACUCUGCAGCUGGCCAGGGGUGCCAGAAGAGGCCUGGGCGUGAGAUGCUGUGCCGGCUGCCGGGAUCUGCUCUGUGUCUGAGGAAAAAGCAAGGCUGCUUCCAACUCCCAGCUCGGGGCUCGCGACCCUGUGCCUAACCUCAGCACAGCUGCUCCGUAGCGUUUCCUUCCGAGGCUCCGUUCCCGGCACUGGAUUCUCCCACUUCUUCUUUAGUACGCUCAGAUUCCCUCUCUUAAAAUGAGGGGGAAGAUUUUCUGUGCUAUUUCUUUUUUUCUCAGCCGUGGCUUCUUCAGCUGCUUUCUGAUACCUGGAGAACCUCUCCGCAAGAGCUGAUGACUUAUUCUUGUUGACAAGAGAAAGCUCUUUUGCAGUGAUUUUCAAAGACUGAGAAGUCCAUUGUCUUCUAUUAAACGGGGAAGGCUCCAUCUUAUCACCACA
RNAcentral lists this long non-coding RNA (3021 nucleotides) under Gallus gallus (chicken). Lineage: Eukaryota; Metazoa; Chordata; Aves; Galliformes; Phasianidae. The record is from RNAcentral.